Molecule: ribosomal RNA, 374 nt
Filed under: uncultured eukaryote
Lineage: Eukaryota
Description: partial 18S ribosomal RNA
Rfam family: Eukaryotic small subunit ribosomal RNA
Source: RNAcentral
CAAGAGCGUAUGUAAAAGUUGUUGCAGUUAAAAAGCUCGUAGUUGAACCUUGGGUUUGGUUGGCCGGUCCGCUUUUUUGCGAGUACUGGAUUCAACCGAGCCUUUCCUUCUGGCUAACCAGUCGUUUCGGCGGCUGGCGAACCAGGAUUUUUACUUUGAGAAAAUUAGAGUGUUCAAAGCAGGCAUUAGCUUGAAUAUAUUAGCAUGGAAUAAUAGAAUAGGACGUUAUGGUUCUAUUUUGUUGGUUUCUAGGACCAUCGUAAUGAUUAAUAGGGACGGUCGGGAGCAUCAGUAUUCAGUUGUCAGAGGUGAAAUUCUUGGAUUUACUGAAGACUAACUACUGCGAAAGCAUUUGCCAAGGACGUUUUCAUUAA